Molecule: long non-coding RNA, 1592 nt
Organism: Coturnix japonica (Japanese quail)
Lineage: Eukaryota; Metazoa; Chordata; Aves; Galliformes; Phasianidae
Source: Ensembl
GUUUGUCUCUUGUCUUGAAGCUUUUGCUAAGCCUUUCUAUAAAUGAAGUGCAGCUUUACACUUGUGACUGAAGGGGGGCAGAACAGAGUACCUCUGUCAUUGUAGAUUCUUGCAGUUUUCUUAUAUUUUAGUAUCUGUCUCCUGUGGUUUCCUAAGACCUCCUGAAGAAAAAGUAUUAUUCAUAACAAUAAAGCCCCCCCCCUUUUUUUUAAUUUUUUUUUUUUUUUUUUUUUUUCCUCCAGCAUGUCAUCUCUUUUACAGAGAAUGCCAUAUCUUUGAUGUGUUGGGAAGCACUGCCUAUUGAACAGAGCAGUCAGAUGAAUACUUUCAGUAGAAUUAUGGAAAUACAAUAAAUCAGAGGAUUUAUUAAAGUCGUCUCCACAUGCAUCAAGUCCAUGCUCACGGCAUCCUGAAGGUAUCAUUCUUGUACCCGGCAAGUGCAUUGUCUAAGGAAAACACUAUUGCAAACAGGAAUCAACUAUUGCAAGAAUGCCUCUCAUUACUACGUCUUUGUGGCAUAGAAAUAAUUGCACAGGCCUUAAGUAAUACUGCUUCUCCUGACUCAGUUACAAAGUUGCUCUCUCCAGGAUGAGGAAGGAAGAAGUACAGGCAUGGGUGGGAAAGGUCAUGUCUUAUGAUGUGCCUGGAGGUGCAGCCACAUGAACACUGUUAUAGGCUGUUGCAAUGAUGGUGGAAAAGUCUGUACUAUUAAAGAUGGUAAUGAGAGUGAACUCCAAGGCACUGGAUUUCCAUCAGAAAGAAGCUUUAAUCUCUGACUUCUGUUUCCAUGUCAGAAUCCAGGACAACUAGUACUUCAUCACUGCAUCUGUCAGCAAAGAACUGACUUCCUAAAUCUGCAGAGCCAGAGGGAAGACAUAGUACAGUGUUAAGCUCAAGAGUGAAUAAUGUCUGUUCAAUUCAAGAUUGGGCUGGUAAUGUCAUGAAACAAAAGUCUCUUGAUAUACUGAUUUGCAAGGAUUUUUUUUUUUUUUCUGAUAUUAUUGCUACCUAAUAUAUUUUGUAUGUCUUUACACUUAAACUGAGUGUUAAUUCAUCUAAGAUUACACCUGUGGGUGCACCUUACUCUUCACAAAUGACUGUUUCAAGUCUCCAUUCCUUGUGGAUUCUUUCUUGCCUGCUGCUACUACCCAAAAUUUAAAGAUUUAAAUCUUGUUUUCAUGAACGAUGUGUGUAAAGAAAAUAUGAUACAUUGUAAAUGUAGGAAGCAGGUGGUGUAGAAACUUAUUAAAAUAGAGUAAUUGUAGUUGUUUUAUUAGUAGAGAUUUUGAGAGACUAAAUUUUGUAUGCAAGAUUUCUGAUAUCUGUCAGUGUUAGAAUGGGAACAGGGAAAAUCCACGAUACAUGUCAUUUGUUAGGUAUCAAUUAAAUAUUUAGAUUUCCCUGAACGUUUUCUUCAAAUUACUGCUUCUUCAUUUUUUUUUCCUUUUUUUUUUCUUUCUUUCUUUCUUUCUUUUUUUUUUUUUUUUUUUUUUUUUUUUUUUUCCCAGUAGACUCCUUAACUGGUGCUUUAUUUUUCUCUGAAAUGGAUUCAUUACAAUUUUGCAGUCAGGCAGCUACUUUUUUCCUGGAUG